ACCGCGGCUGGCGAGGGACGGGACGGGACGGGACGGGAAGGAAAGGAAAGGUGCAGCGGGGGAAGCCGCCCUGCCCGCUCCUUCCCUCCCUCCGAAACCGAGUCACCCUCGCAAUUCCUCGGUGCCGUCCCCGGCUCAGUGAGGCCGCGCGGCGCAGCACGAGAGAAGAGCGCGGUCCCACGGCAGGGAGCGGGGAAAUGACCCCCAGCGUCCCCGGGGGAAGAGGGGCUGUCCAGGACGGGUACGGACACAGCUCGGCCGGCCUCUCGCUGGGAGCGAACGGGGCUGAAAGAUACCACUGCCUUCUCCAACUUCUGGCCUAUGCAUUUUUAUCUCUUAGAGAGAGCUGAAGCUAACAGAGGGCUGUAUUCCAUCCGAAGUACUGGUACAAAUGAGGAGAUGAAGUAAAGAAGUUUCAAGACAUGGAGAGUGGAUAUUACAAGAAUGAGAAAAUAAGAUUACUUAAACCAACUCAGAAUUUCACCCUCAGAGAAAAACAUAGAUGGGGUGAGAGUUUAAAUUUCAAUGCUUUUUUCUUUUUUUUUUAACUGUUGAAGAAAGCAGAAAAAUGUAGGUUUUUCAAAAGCUCAUUUACAUGCAACCACAACUGCUAGGAAAAGAUUUCUUUUCUUUCUGAAUGACUUAAACCUCUUGGAAAUUUUAUAAAAGUGCCUGGCUAUGAUUGAGCAUCUCAGUUGAGUGGCUUUUUAUUUCCUUCUUCCCUACAAACCUGAUGACAGGAGUUCAGAGGAGUUAAAGUGAGAAACAAUCAGCUAUGGAGGGUCACCACACACUGUAGACCCAAAGCCUCAUAACAACCAGGCAGCUGGAAUAUUUCACAGGAUUCAGUGACUAUAUUUGCUACUGUGCAGCCACUGAUAACACCCAAAUGAUUCUAUAAGGAACAUCCACGUUCAUUUGUUACAGGAAAGUUGUGCAGGUGUUGUACAAACAGCUAGGACGGGGUUUGUCCCCUUUAACUCACCAAGCCUGCACCUCUAACCACAAUGGAAAUACAGGUUAGACAGAUUGAAUUGAAAUUGUGUGGCAAGUCCUACAUACAUAAACAAGGAAAUUGUCUUUAGCCAAAAUACUCAUUUCAGCCUGAAAAUUCUGAAAAUUCUGUAUGUAAUUUCAAGUAAACAAAAAGUCCACCUAACUUCAACUACAGGAGAACAUUUUCUUACUCUUUUUUUCAAACCCAUGUUUGAAACCCAUGAAUUUUAUGGCUAAGAAACUUCAGGCUGCAAAUCUUGAAUUUACUAUACAUGCACAAGCAUUUAGUCCUCAAAAGUAUUCUGUGAUAUGCUUAGAAAUAAAAUUAGUGUUAUGUCCACUGAUGACAAAAUAAAAUAUUUUUUGGUAAGAAACAGAAAUUAAUACAAAACUGCAACCAGUGACUUUUACCUGUAAGAUGGUGUGGACAGCAUGUGCAACAGGAAAAAUACCUUCAGUUGGUGAUAAACAGUUUGAAAAAUCAAUAUAAUAUCCAAUUUUGAAGGAGUCCAGAAUUAAAGUAAUCACUGCAAAUAAUGUAAUCCCACCUACAAAUGAAAAAGAUAUUAGAAAAUUUUAAGGUAUAGUUAUAGUGUCUAGACACUAUUUGUAAAAUACACAGAAAUCUAGGGGAAUGAAACUUGAUCAGUAUCUGUGUUCUUGUUUAGGGAAAUAUGACUAGAUCAGUGCUCAUGAAGAUAAUUGACUCCAUUAAAUAAAUACCUCUAAUUUGGACAGCCUCUGCCCAGUAGGUUAAGCAAGGUCAUCACUGGGCAUCCCCUGCACGGUCAGUGAGGAGUGGCCAGCCCUGCAGUGCCCAGCUCUGGGCAGGGUCAGCUCCCAAGUGACAGUGGCACUGCAGCAGCCAGAGAGAGCCUGAAUGACUGCUCUCAGCAGCCCCACAGCAAACGGGGCAGUCCUGGGGAGCCGAACAAUCACCUUACAGUCUCCCAGCCCAAAAGCUGGGGGAAGUAACACAAUCACUCGGUGUGCCCUCCCCGUGCCUCAGGGGUCACGCUUUAACUCAGAGACCACAACCACAACAAAAUGUAUGGUUUGUUCUCCGAGAAAGGAACAAAAGAUUAAAUUUCAGUACUUAGAUUUCACACAUACACAAAAAUAUCUUAACAUAUUAGUCUAAAUAGCCAAAAAAACUUUGAAAUAUAUUUCCCUUUGUUUAUUUUGUUGUUGUUGUUAUUAUUGGUUUAGAACCGUAUGACUAAGUACAACUGGCUGCAAGAUUACUAAUCCAAAAUCUAAG
Long non-coding RNA from Parus major (Great Tit), 2257 nucleotides. RefSeq lists it as uncharacterized. The record is from RefSeq and is a predicted model, not a curated record. The transcript has 3 exons. Lineage: Eukaryota; Metazoa; Chordata; Aves; Passeriformes; Paridae.